UAAAAAGUCAGCAACAUGAAAAUAAACUCCACCUAAACUUGGUUUAUAUCUGACCCAGAUAGACUGCAGGUCAUAACUUCUUACCUGAAGUUCAGUUCACCUGACACUCGGACUGGCGGCUGCUUCGGGUCUCUCCUCCUGCCUCCCCUUCCCUCAUCCACCUGUUGCCUCUGUGGAAGCCCCGUCAUAGCCACCACCAAACAACGGAGUUAUUUCUACACAUCGACCUGCAUCUGGCCAAUCCACCACCUCUCAUUGUUCAUGCCGUUACAAAAUAAAAUAAAAAAUAAUCGUAACAUUGCUGUAUGGAGCUGCAGAUUUGGUUGCAGGUUAACAUAGCUGGACUGGCCAUCGGGCUUAUUUGACUUAUUUUUUAUUUUAUUUUGUAACGGCAUGAACAAUGAGAGGUGGUGGAUUGGCCAGAUGCAGGUCGAUGUGUAGAAAUAACUCCGUUGUUUGGUGGUGGCUAUGACGGGGCUUCCACAGAGGCAACAGGUGGAUGAGGGAAGGGGAGGCAGGAGGAGAGACCCGAGGCAGCCACCAGUCCGAGUGUCAGGUGAACUGAACUUCAGGUAAGAAGUUAUGACCUGCAGUCUAUCUGGGUCAGAUAUAAACCAAGUUUAGGUGGAGUUUAUUUUCGUUGUGCUGACUUUUUACUGUCAGUUGCAAUAACUCAUACUGCGUUCUAGCCAGUUUGACGGAGUUUUUAUACAGCUGGGUGGGUGCUAUGAUGUUACUGAUAGUGAACUUUAUUUUAUUCAUAAGGUUAGUUAGUAGAGUUGCCA
This is a long non-coding RNA of Astatotilapia calliptera (eastern happy), 785 nucleotides long. NCBI's taxonomy places the organism in Eukaryota, Metazoa, Chordata, Actinopteri, Cichliformes, Cichlidae. The record is from Ensembl.